Molecule: ribosomal RNA, 250 nt
Filed under: uncultured soil bacterium
Lineage: Bacteria
Description: partial 16S ribosomal RNA
Rfam family: Bacterial small subunit ribosomal RNA
Source: RNAcentral
AGGACGAACGCUGGCGGCGUGCUUAACACAUGCAAGUCGAGGGGGCCCGCAAGGGUCGCCGGCGAACGGGUGCGUAACACGUGAGCAACCUGCCACAGAGUGGGGGAUAGCCGGCCCAACGGCCGGGUAAUACCGCAUACGAUCCUCUCGGGACAUCCCGUAAGGAUGAAAGAUUUAUCGCUCUGGUGAGGGGCUCGCGGCCUAUCAGCUAGUUGGUGCGGUAACGGCGCACCAAGGCGACGACGGUAGC